CAUUAGGUGGCUGAAAGUAAGCAAUGGAAUUUUAAAUCAUUAUAUAGCAUAGUCACGUAUGCUUCUAAUGA
RNAcentral lists this transfer RNA (71 nucleotides) under Aphthona sp. EMHAU-15071309. RNAcentral describes it as "tRNA-Lys". Lineage: Eukaryota; Metazoa; Arthropoda; Insecta; Coleoptera; Chrysomelidae. The record is from RNAcentral.